RNAcentral lists this long non-coding RNA (1218 nucleotides) under Sus scrofa (pig). RNAcentral's name for it is "lncRNA (ENSSSCG00025061247.1)". Lineage: Eukaryota; Metazoa; Chordata; Mammalia; Artiodactyla; Suidae. The record is from RNAcentral.
AUAGCACAAAAAAAAAAAAGAUAAUUCAGAAGAAGUUGGGAUUAAUUCAUGCUGGGACAUAGGGAAGGUAUUGUGAAGGGAGGUCUGGAAAGUAUUAUAGUAGAACCUUGAAUAAUGGGUAGGCUUUGAAUCUUUGAGGAUAAGAAUGUGGGGUUAGGAGGGUAGGCAUUGCAAUUGCAAAAGCAACAUGAGCAAAGGCAUAGAAGUGGGAGUAAAUGUUUCUACUUUUCUAACACUUGAGGUAAUACUUACAUGCAGACAUUCAAUGGUUUCCUUCUCCCAUUCCUGGGAAAGAAGCCAGGAGCCAUCUCAAGUGAGGAGGACCCCCUCAUGGAACUGAGAUUUGGCCAAGAUCAUCGCUUUUCCCCCCAUUGAUUUAGAUGGGGGGAGGGGUGGUUGUGACAGUCUCCUUGAUUGCACCAGCUUAGGGCUGUGGGCGAAUACUUUUGACAUUAAAAUCCUUUCUGUUCUUUCCAGUUUCAUCUCUGUGCCAACUUUUUUCAAGAAAAUCCGGUUCUUUCUUCCCCUUUUGGUUCAGCAAUCACAGUUAAAUCUGCAAAGCCAGUCAUCAAGCCAAACAAUAAGCAUUUCCGGAGCACAGUGGGGAGCAAGUUUCGCAGCUCUCUGUACUUGCUCAUGGAGACCCUCAAUGCCACCACGCCCCACUAUGUUCGGUGCAUCAAGCCAAAUGAUGAGAAAUUGCCCUUUGAGUAAGUGUUCUUCUGCAGCAGAGAGGGGACACCCUGAGGGAGCCAUUUCUGGUGUGAUGUUGGAGAAUUUGUUUAUCAUGGUCUUGAACUUUACCAUUCUUGGGUAUUUUAAUGAUUCAAAACAAUCCUGCCCUCUAUAUCAUUAACCCCUCUGGCUAAACCAUCUUAUCUCCAGAGUUAAGCGAAGGGGCUAGGUUUGAAAGAAUUAUUCUACAGUUAAAUCUUGUGCAAACAGAGAAAGCCAGAACAUUUUCUUGGUGAGAAUUUGUCUGUGUUUGUAGGAGGAAAGCUGUAGAGAGGCCAAAAGUUUUGCCCUCAAACAUGGCAUGAGGCCUUAGACUUUUUCUUUGGGGACCCAAGGAAGUGGAAGCUACAGAGAGUCUCUCAGCUGAGAGGUGUCUAAGGGGAUGCUCUGUCCUGGGGGUGGUGACUGUGUCUGUGGGUCCUCAGAGGGCCAGACCUAAGCCAUAGCGCCACCUGUAGGGUGUCUUGUAAGGGGGACUUGGUA